UGAGACACGGCCCAGACUCCUACGGGAGGCAGCAGUAGGGAAUCUUCCGCAAUGGACGAAAGUCUGACGGAGCAACGCCGCGUGAGUGAUGAAGGUUUUCGGAUCGUAAAGCUCUGUUGUUAGGGAAGAACAAGUGCCGUUCAAAUAGGGCGGCACCUUGACGGUACCUAACCAGAAAGCCACGGCUAACUACGUGCCAGCAGCCGCGGUAAUACGUAGGUGGCAAGCGUUGUCCGGAAUUAUUGGGCGUAAAGGGCUCGCAGGCGGUUUCUUAAGUCUGAUGUGAAAGCCCCCGGCUCAACCGGGGAGGGUCAUUGGAAACUGGGGAACUUGAGUGCAGAAGAGGAGAGUGGAAUUCCACGUGUAGCGGUGAAAUGCGUAGAGAUGUGGAGGAACACCAGUGGCGAAGGCGACUCUCUGGUCUGUAACUGACGCUGAGGAGCGAAAGCGUGGGGAGCGAACAGGAUUAGAUACCCUGGUAGUCCACGCCGUAAACGAUGAGUGCUAAGUGUUAGGGGGUUUCCGCCCCUUAGUGCUGCAGCUAACGCAUUAAGCACUCCGCCUGGGGAGUACGGUCGCAAGACUGAAACUCAAAGGAAUUGACGGGGGCCCGCACAAGCGGUGGAGCAUGUGGUUUAAUUCGAAGCAACGCGAAGAACCUUACCAGGUCUUGACAUCCUCUGACAACCCUAGAGAUAGGGCUUCCCCUUCGGGGGCAGAGUGACAGGUGGUGCAUGGUUGUCGUCAGCUCGUGUCGUGAGAUGUUGGGUUAAGUCCCGCAACGAGCGCAACCCUUGAUCUUAGUUGCCAGCAUUCAGUUGGGCACUCUAAGGUGACUGCCGGUGACAAACCGGAGGAAGGUGGGGAUGACGUCAAAUCAUCAUGCCCCUUAUGACCUGGGCUACACACGUG
Molecule: ribosomal RNA, 912 nt
Filed under: Bacillus atrophaeus
Lineage: Bacteria; Bacillati; Bacillota; Bacilli; Caryophanales; Bacillaceae
Description: bacterial SSU rRNA
Rfam family: Bacterial small subunit ribosomal RNA
Source: RNAcentral